Small nuclear RNA from Octodon degus (degu), 107 nucleotides. Lineage: Eukaryota; Metazoa; Chordata; Mammalia; Rodentia; Octodontidae. The record is from Ensembl.
GUGCUCACUUCACCAUCACAUAUAGUAAGAUUGUAAUGAUACAGAGAAAAUUAGCAUGGCCCCUGUGCAAGGAUGACACCCAAAUUCCUGAAGCAUUCCAUAUUUUU